Molecule: ribosomal RNA, 482 nt
Filed under: uncultured bacterium
Lineage: Bacteria
Description: partial 16S ribosomal RNA
Rfam family: Bacterial small subunit ribosomal RNA
Source: RNAcentral
AUUGAACGCUGGCGGCAUGCUUUACACAUGCAAGUCGAACGGUAACAGGCCGCAAGGUGCUGACGAGUGGCGAACGGGUGAGUAAUGCAUCGGAACGUGCCCAGUCGUGGGGGAUAACUACUCGAAAGAGUAGCUAAUACCGCAUACGAUCUAUGGAUGAAAGCGGGGGACCGUAAGGCCUCGCGCGAUUGGAGCGGCCGAUGUCAGAUUAGGUAGUUGGUGGGGUAAAGGCUCACCAAGCCAACGAUCUGUAGCUGGUCUGAGAGGACGACCAGCCACACUGGGACUGAGACACGGCCCAGACUCCUACGGGAGGCAGCAGUGGGGAAUUUUGGACAAUGCGCGCAAGCCUGAUCCAGCAAUGCCGCGUGCAGGAAGAAGGCCUUCGGGUUGUAAACUGCUUUUGUACGGAACGAAACGGCUCUGGUUAAUACCCGGGGCUAAUGACGGUACCGUAAGAAUAAGCACCGGCUAACUACGUG